UAGGCAGAGGCCUGUUGGUUCGGGCAUUUAGCUGUUAACUAAAGUUUCAUGGGAUCGAAGCCCAUUUGCCUAG
This 73-nucleotide transfer RNA is filed under the name Menura novaehollandiae (superb lyrebird). Its description in RNAcentral is "tRNA-Asn". Lineage: Eukaryota; Metazoa; Chordata; Aves; Passeriformes; Menuridae. The record is from RNAcentral. RNAcentral also lists the same sequence under 1 other name.